Molecule: ribosomal RNA, 254 nt
Filed under: uncultured bacterium
Lineage: Bacteria
Description: partial 16S ribosomal RNA
Rfam family: Bacterial small subunit ribosomal RNA
Source: RNAcentral
GACGAACCGUCCGAACGUUUAUUCGGAAUCACUGGGCUUAAAGGGUGCGUAGGCGGCGCGGAAAGUUGGGUGUGAAAUCCCUCGGCUCAACCGAGGAACUGCGCCCAAAACUACCGUGCUCGAGGGAGAUAGAGGUGAGCGGAACUUAGGGUGGAGCGGUGAAAUGCGUUGAUAUCCUAAGGAACACCGGUGGCGAAAGCGGCUCACUGGAUCUCUUCUGACGCUGAGGCACGAAAGCUAGGGUAGCGAACGGG